RNAcentral lists this ribosomal RNA (510 nucleotides) under uncultured bacterium. RNAcentral's name for it is "partial 16S ribosomal RNA". It matches the Rfam family "Bacterial small subunit ribosomal RNA", at positions 28 to 507 of the family's 1533-position model. The record is from RNAcentral.
GACGAACGCUGGCGGCGUGCUUAACACAUGCAAGUCGAACGAAGAGCGAUGGAAGCUUGCUUCUAUCAAUCUUAGUGGCGAACGGGUGAGUAACGCGUAAUCAACCUGCCCUUCAGAGAGGGACAACAGUUGGAAACGACUGCUAAUACCGCAUACGAUCUAAUCUCGGCAUCGAGGGUAGAUGAAAGGUGGCCUCUACAUGUAAGCUAUCACUGAAGGAGGGGAUUGCGUCUGAUUAGCUAGUUGGAGGGGUAACGGCCCACCAAGGCGAUGAUCAGUAGCCGGUCUGAGAGGAUGAACGGCCACAUUGGGACUGAGACACGGCCCAGACUCCUACGGGAGGCAGCAGUGGGGAAUCUUCCGCAAUGGACGAAAGUCUGACGGAGCAACGCCGCGUGAGCGAUGACGGCCUUCGGGUUGUAAAGCUCUGUUAAUCGGGACGAAAGGCCUCCUUGCGAAUAGUGAGAAGGAUUGACGGUACCGGAAUAGAAAGCCACGGCUAACUACGUG